Molecule: ribosomal RNA, 476 nt
Filed under: uncultured bacterium
Lineage: Bacteria
Description: partial 16S ribosomal RNA
Rfam family: Bacterial small subunit ribosomal RNA
Source: RNAcentral
GACGAACGCUGGCGGCGUGCUUAACACAUGCAAGUCGAACGGGAUUUAGUAAACAGAAACCUCGGUGGAAGAUUACUAAUGAGAGUGGCGAACGGGUGAGUAACGCGUGAGCAACCUGCCUAUGACAGUGGGAUAGCCUCGGGAAACCGGGAUUAAUACCGCAUAAAAUCGUAGAAACACAUGUUUUAACGGUCAAAGAUUUAUCGGUCAUAGAUGGGCUCGCGUCUGAUUAGCUAGUUGGUGAGAUAACAGCCCACCAAGGCGACGAUCAGUAGCCGGUCUGAGAGGAUGAACGGCCACAUUGGAACUGAGACACGGUCCAAACUCCUACGGGAGGCAGCAGUGGGGAAUAUUGCACAAUGGGGGAAACCCUGAUGCAGCGACGCCGCGUGAACGAAGAAGGUAUGCGUAUCGUAAAGUUCUGUCCUAUGGGAAGAUAAUGACAGGACCAUAGAAGAAAGCUCCGGCUAAAUACG